GGAUUCCACACAGGAAGGUCACACCAUCCCCCACCAUCAUCAGCGUGGAAACCUCAAGGAUUACAAUAUUGUUGUUAAAGAAGAGUUUGAAGAGGGGGAUGAUGAGCUCUCUGAGGAACACCAGCAUAUCUACAAGGACAUCAUGAUGGAAUCACCUAAUACCAGGAACCCACCAGAGAGAUGCCCCCAUCCUCUGUAUUCCGGGGAUUCCACACAGGAAGAUCACAACAUCUUUCACCAUUACAAGGUUGAAGAUCUGAUGGAUAUAAAAGUUGAGGUUAAAGCAGAAGAAGAGAGGUAUGUGAGGGAUGAUCAGCAGUCUAUGGAGGAGGAUGGAAUAACG
Rana temporaria (common frog) is the source of this 343-nucleotide long non-coding RNA. RefSeq lists it as uncharacterized. The record is from RefSeq and is a predicted model, not a curated record. The transcript has 3 exons. Lineage: Eukaryota; Metazoa; Chordata; Amphibia; Anura; Ranidae.